GAUGAAGAACGUAGCGAAAUGCGAUAAGUAGUGUGAAUUGCAGAAUUCAGUGAAUCAUCGAAUCUUUGAACGCACAUUGCGCCUUCUAGUAUUCUAGAAGGCAUGCCUGUCCGAGCGUCAUUAAAAAAACCUCAAGCAAUCUUUUUUGCUUGGUUCUGAUGGUUGAGCUUGGAAAUAUUCAAGCACUCCAUCGAAUUUCAGUGGCGGAAACCAUGUUUGAUUCUGGUGUAAUAAAAUACAAUUAUCACGUGAAAUCUUACAAGUAUUCUAGCCUUUUAAACCCCCCCAUUACAAAACUAUUUUACAAACGACCUCGGAUCAGGUAGGGAUACCCGCUGAACUUAAGCAUAUCAAUAAGCGGAGGA
RNAcentral lists this unclassified non-coding RNA (365 nucleotides) under soil metagenome. RNAcentral describes it as "partial contains 5.8S ribosomal RNA, internal transcribed spacer 2, and large subunit ribosomal RNA". The stretch from base 1 to 120 matches the Rfam family "5.8S ribosomal RNA", at positions 35 to 154 of the family's 154-position model. The record is from RNAcentral.